AUUGAACGCUGGCGGCAGGCCUAACACAUGCAAGUCGAGUUCGCGGCGGGCGGGUGCGUAUUGUCUGGGAAACUGUCUGUUGGAGAGGGAUAACAACUGGAGACGGUGGCUAAUAACGCAUACCCUCAGAUUUGCCCCGAUGGGAUGAGCUAGUAGGUGGGGUAACGGCUCACAUAGGCGACGAUCCCUAGCUGGUCUGAGAGGUUGGUCAGCCACACUGUAACUGAGACACGGUCCAGACUCCUACGGGAGGCAGCAGUGGGGAAUAUUGGACAAUGGGCGCAAGCCUGAUGCAGCCAUGCCGCGUGUGUGAAGAAGGCCUUCGGGUUGUAAAGCACUUUCAGCGGGGAGGCGUUACCCGCAGAAGAAGCACCGGCUAACUACGUGCCAGCAGCCGCGGUAAUUC
Molecule: ribosomal RNA, 406 nt
Filed under: uncultured bacterium
Lineage: Bacteria
Description: partial 16S ribosomal RNA
Rfam family: Bacterial small subunit ribosomal RNA
Source: RNAcentral